RNAcentral lists this long non-coding RNA (1014 nucleotides) under Anas platyrhynchos platyrhynchos (common mallard). RNAcentral's name for it is "lncRNA (ENSAPLG00000030479.1)". Lineage: Eukaryota; Metazoa; Chordata; Aves; Anseriformes; Anatidae. The record is from RNAcentral.
GGGAGCCCCGCGCCGCGGCGCGCUGGCGGCGGGGCGGGGCGGAGUGGCGGCCGUGUGGAGCGCCUAUUUAUAGGGCGGGAGGCUCCCCGCCGCCCGGGGACGUCGUCUGCGGUGUUUCCGCGCUGUAUGUGCCGCCUCGGGCGGGGAGACGGAGCUCUCGGCCCCUCCGGAGGUGGCCGGCGGUCCCGCGCGGAGCCGGUGUGAGAGUAGCCCGCGGGGCAAGCAGGAGCUGCGGCCGCGCUAAGGGGCAACCCUCAGGGUGCGAGAGCAGCGUCCCGAGCAGUGUCACUUUCCAUCGCAGCCGAGCCAGCGGGGGCUACGGCCGUGCGGUGCCCAGGGCUCCGGUUUUAGCAGUGCCCCGCUCUCCGUCGCGUGCGGGCGGCGCGGAGCGCCUGGGUCUGCCCCGGUCUGGUGCGGCGGGGAGAGCUCCGCCGCUCUCGGCGGGAGCGGGCGGAGCAAGACUCUCCCGGCAGAGCUGCGGAGUCCCAGAGAUUCCCUUUUCCGGGAGCAGGCAGCCCCCCACCCGGGGCGCGCUGCCAGCGCCCGGGAAACUCCUCCGCAUCCGCGGCUGCGGAGCUGCCGGCACGCGGCCCCUCCGCGGGCACGGGGGGGAGGCGGGUAGGGCGAGCGGGAGGGGGGGGCGUUCUGCCCGCGAUGCCGCCGCCGGCGGGGCUGGAGCCACCCGGGUGUUCCCCGCGGUCUCGGUGCCGCCCGCCCGCCCGGCGACGAAGCCGCGCGCUCUCGCGGCACGGGGGCGGGCGGGCGCGCGCGCGUCCUGGCGGCAACCUGGGCUCCGCGUCCGGGCUCCCCGAGCCCGCCCCCCCGAUUCCCGCAGCCGGGGCCGGAAUCGCCAAAUAAGGAGCGGGAUGCCUCCGCCGGAACCGAGACUUAUAAGGCUGUUUCCUAAUAUGGAAGGUGCAGCGGAGGCUUCCGGCGGGCUGGCCGGGGCGGGCGGGGGCCGGGCACCGCUCGCCCCUGGGCCGGAGACGCUGCGGCGGCGCUGCGGCGGCGCUG